Molecule: long non-coding RNA, 695 nt
Filed under: Homo sapiens (human)
Lineage: Eukaryota; Metazoa; Chordata; Mammalia; Primates; Hominidae
Description: HSALNT0371806
Source: RNAcentral
AACGGAGGAGGACCGAACCUGGGGCCGGGGGAAUAUCCACCUCCAUUUCGGGUCUCAGGAAGGGCAAGCCAGAGUCCUUUCUUGGAGGAGUGGUAGGUUGCAGCAACUCAGGCCUAAUCCUGCUUUGUACCUAGAAUAACAGAAGAUCUUCUUCAGAAACCUCAAGCUCCGAUGAUGCCUUCAGACCCAUGAAGAUGGAGUGUGAAAUUCCAUGAAUAUCGAGUCUAUUUUCUGGACCCCAGAGGCUUCAAUGGAAAAUUGAAGAAUAUGAAUGAAUAUAGCAAAUUUCAGCAGAGAGAUCGAAAGGACCACAGAGGAUGAAAUGAUGAAAUGCUCAUGCAAGAGAAAAAUCUCAACAAAGGAGCUACAGAAUGCUUUCCCCAGACUGUCUGUCUGACACCAGAUUUGACAACACUUUGUAAAUAACCAGGAGCCACAGUAGAAAUAUUCUAGGGAAUGGGAAUCACUGUCUCCUGAGGUAACAAAGAAAUAUAGAAAGCCAACAAAAUGUUUAGAAUUAUAAUCAUGAUAAUAAUGAUAGCUAGCAUUUAUUGAGUACUUGCUGUGUUCCAGCCAGGCUUGGUACUAACCUCUGUAUAUUUAGUAACUCAUCCAUUGGCUCUAUGUGACAUGUCCUACAAUCAGUCCAAGAGUAGGAAACUGACGGUGACAGAGAUGAAAAGACUUUUUUUUUU